This 468-nucleotide ribosomal RNA is filed under the name uncultured bacterium. Its description in RNAcentral is "partial 16S ribosomal RNA". It matches the Rfam family "Bacterial small subunit ribosomal RNA", at positions 28 to 507 of the family's 1533-position model. The record is from RNAcentral.
GACGAACGCUGGCGGCGUGCUUAACACAUGCAAGUCGAACGGAAAGGCCCUGCUUUUGUGGGGUGCUCGAGUGGCGAACGGGUGAGUAACACGUGAGUAACCUGCCCUUGACUUUGGGAUAACUUCAGGAAACUGGGGCUAAUACCGGAUAGGAGCUCCUGCUGCAUGGUGGGGGUUGGAAAGUUUCGGCGGUUGGGGAUGGACUCGCGGCUUAUCAGCUUGUUGGUGGGGUAGUGGCUUACCAAGGCUUUGACGGGUAGCCGGCCUGAGAGGGUGACCGGCCCCAUGGGGCCUGAGGGAGGCCCCAGCGCCUACGGGGGGACAGAGGGGGGAAUUAUGGCAGAUGGGGGGGGGGUGUGUGCAGGAACUCCCGGGGGGGGAAGGAGGGCUUUGGGGUGUUAAACGGUUUUCGCUUGUAACGAGGCGGGGUUGACGUUAAGGGAUAAAAAAGCCCCGGCUAACUUCGUG